Molecule: unclassified non-coding RNA, 108 nt
Filed under: Chryseobacterium limigenitum
Lineage: Bacteria; Pseudomonadati; Bacteroidota; Flavobacteriia; Flavobacteriales; Weeksellaceae
Description: Flavo-1 RNA
Source: RNAcentral
UCCUAGCCCCGAUCGCAGCAUUUGUUUGAGCUCAUUUCUUUGGUUUCGGCGGCGGCAAAGCCGCCGCCGAAACCAAAGAAAUAGCGAGUGCGGAGAGCGGGAAAUGGC